RNAcentral lists this long non-coding RNA (1356 nucleotides) under Salmo salar (Atlantic salmon). Its description in RNAcentral is "lncRNA (ENSSSAG00000105545.1)". Lineage: Eukaryota; Metazoa; Chordata; Actinopteri; Salmoniformes; Salmonidae. The record is from RNAcentral.
UUGUGACUGUACUAUUUAGUGUCAUUGUUUUAUAGAUACCAUAGUGAGAAAGGAUUCAUUUCGCAACUCCUACGGCUUCCACUAGAUGUCAACGAUCUUUAUAAAGUUGUUUGAAGCGUCUAUGAUGAACAGAGACCGGAUGACAAGGAAGAGAAGUUGACCUCCCUGGGAUGUCGUCACUUCAUUAUUGGCUGCACCUGCGCAAUCAUGUGAUGCGAUACAUUUUUCAAAGACGUUUUUCAAGACACAGGAGAGGUCGGGUUGAAACAUUACUGAUGUUUCACGUUAAAAAUGGCUCUAAAGAUUGAUGCUAAACAACGUUUGACAUGUUUGAACAAUGUAAAUAGAUUAUUUUUUUUACUUUUCGCCGUGACUCCCCCCCGCGCUACUUUUUUAGUAGCCUACCGAAGCGCUAACAACAUGGAACAACUUGGAGUUAUUUGGACAUCAAUUAUGAACUUUGUCAAAAGAAACCACAUUUGUAGUGGACCUGGGAUUUCUAGAAGUGCCAAUGGAUGAAGAUAAUCAAAGUCCAUCUGUGGACGGGUUCCAAGUGGAAGAAAGUUGGUGAUGAAGUAAUUUGAGUAUCAUCCGGAUAUUUUGAAAUGAGAACCGAACUGCAAGAAAACCAGUAUCUGGUGGAAGAGGUCAACUGUUCACUCCAGAGUACGAGACCCACAUUAGAGUCAUGGAGCUAGAAGCAGAUGCAGUGCAUCAUGAGCUAAUAUAUGUGGACGAGGCAGGUUUCAACCUUGCAAAAACAAGGGGACGUGGCAGAAAUAUCAUUGGACACCGUGCCAUCAUCAACAUCCUGGGACAACGUGGUGGCAACAUAACAAUGUGUGUGGCUAUUAGUCAAAAUGGCAUCCUUCACCAUCAUGCAAUCCUAGGCCCAUACAACACUGCACACAUUAUCACAUUUCUGGACACCCUCCACAACAGACUAAUCCCUAAUAACCAGGGGCCAGAGCAGCCCAGGUACGUUAUCAUCUGGGACAAUGUUAGUUUCACUGGGCUGCUGUGGUCCGCAAUUGGUUCACAGGUCACCCACUUUUCAUCGCACUCUAUCUCCCCCCAUACACUCCGUUCUUGAAUCCUAUUGAAGAAUUCUUCUCUGUAUGGAGUUGGAAGGUGUAUGAUCGCCAGCCCCACCAACGCAUACCCCUUCUACAGGCAAUGGAGGAGGCUUGUGGAGACAUCGAUCAGAGGUCAUGCCAGGCCUGGAUACGGCACUCCAGGCGAUACUUUCCACGCUGCCUAACUCAAGACAACAUUGCAUGUGAUGUGGGUGAAAUCGUAUGGCCAGACCCACAAAGAAGGCUAGAUGCAGCCUAAUCUUUUUCAGUUAUUUUUUUU